This 73-nucleotide transfer RNA is filed under the name Acidimicrobiales bacterium. Its description in RNAcentral is "tRNA-Thr". It matches the Rfam family "tRNA". Rfam says of the family: Transfer RNA (tRNA) molecules are approximately 80 nucleotides in length. Their secondary structure includes four short double-helical elements and three loops (D, anti-codon, and T loops). Lineage: Bacteria; Bacillati; Actinomycetota; Acidimicrobiia; Acidimicrobiales. The record is from RNAcentral. RNAcentral also lists the same sequence under 1 other name.
GCCUGGGUAGCUCAGCUGGUAGAGCAGCGCAUUCGUAAUGCGCAGGUCAGGGGUUCGAGUCCCCUCCCAGGCU